UACGGGGGGAGCAAGCGUUGUUCGGAUUUACUGGGCGUAAAGGGCGCGUAGGCGGCCACCGCAAGUCACUUGUGAAAUCUCCGGGCUUAACCCGGAAAGGUCAACUGAUACUGCGGGGCUAGAGUGCAGAAGGGGCAACUGGAAUUCUCGGUGUAGCGGUGAAAUGCGUAGAUAUCGAGAGGAACACCAAUGGCGAAGGCAGCUCGCUGGGACGUGACUGACGCUGAGACGCGAAAGCGUGGGGAGCAAACAGG
This 254-nucleotide ribosomal RNA is filed under the name uncultured bacterium. RNAcentral describes it as "partial 16S ribosomal RNA". It matches the Rfam family "Bacterial small subunit ribosomal RNA", at positions 524 to 776 of the family's 1533-position model. The record is from RNAcentral.